CAACAGGGAUUGCCCUAGUACGGCGAGUGAAGCGGCAACAGCUCAAAUUUGAAAUCUGGCUCUUUCAGAGUCCGAGUUGUAAUUUGCAGAGGGCGCUUUGGCGUUGGCAGCGGUCCAAGUUCUUUGGAACAGGACGUCACAGAGGGUGAGAAUCCCGUACGUGGUCGCUAACCUUCGCCGUGUAAAGCCCCUUCGACGAGUCGAGUUGUUUGGGAAUGCAGCUCUAAAUGGGAGGUAAAUUUCUUCUAAAGCUAAAUACUGGCCAGAGACCGAUAGCGCACAAGUAGAGUGAUCGAAAGAUGAAAAGCACUUUGGAAAGAGAGUCAAAUAGCACGUGAAAUUGUUGAAAGGGAAGCGCUUGCAGCCAGACUUGCCUGUAGUUGCUUAUCUGGACUUUUGUCCGGUGCACUCUUCUGCGGGCAGGCCAGCAUCAGUUUGGGCGGUUGGAUAAAGGUCUCUGUCAUGUACCUCUCUUCGGGGAGGCCUUAUAGGGGAGACGACAUGCAACCAGCCUGGACUGAGGUCCGCGCAUUUGCUAGGAUGCUGGCGUAAUGGCUGUAAGCGGCCCGUCUUGAAACACGGACCAAGGAGUCUAACAUCUAUGCGAGUGUUUGGGUGUCAAGCCCGGACGCGUAAUGAAAGUGAACGGAGGUGGGAACCCUUUGGGUGCACCAUCGACCGAUCCUGAUGUCUUCGGAUGGAUUUGAGUAAGAGCAUGGCUGUUGGGACCCGAAAGAUGGUGAACUAUGCUUGAAUAGGGUGAAGCCAGAGGAAACUCUGGUGGAGGCUCGCAGCGGUUCUGACGUGCAAAUCGAUCGUCAAAUUUGGGCAUAGGGGCGAAAGACUAAUCGAACUAUCUAGUAACUGGGUCCCUGCCGA
Molecule: ribosomal RNA, 879 nt
Filed under: Leptospora thailandica
Lineage: Eukaryota; Fungi; Ascomycota; Dothideomycetes
Description: eukaryotic LSU rRNA
Rfam family: Eukaryotic large subunit ribosomal RNA
Source: RNAcentral